GGGGAGGGCCGGCGUGCCUAUACUUGCAGUUCGAACGAACUUCCUGGUAUUGAUUGGUGCUUGCAUCAUGAUUUACAUUUUGAGUGAGUGGCGAACUGGUGAGUAACACGUGGGAAACCUGCCCAGAAGCGGGGGAUAACACCUGGAAACAGAUGCUAAUACCGCAUAACAACUUGGACCGCAUGGUCCGAGUUUGAAAGAUGGCUUCGGCUAUCACUUUUGGAUGGUCCCGCGGCGUAUUAGCUAGAUGGUGGGGUAACGGCUCACCAUGGCAAUGAUACGUAGCCGACCUGAGAGGGUAAUCGGCCACAUUGGGACUGAGACACGGCCCAAACUCCUACGGGAGGCAGCAGUAGGGAAUCUUCCACAAUGGACGAAAGUCUGAUGGAGCAACGCCGCGUGAGUGAAGAAGGGUUUCGGCUCGUAAAACUCUGUUGUUAAAGAAGAACAUAUCUGAGAGUAACUGUUCAGGUAUUGACGGUAUUUAACCAGAAAGCCACGGCUAACUACGUGCCAGCAGCCGCGGUAAUACGUAGGUGGCAAGCGUUGUCCGGAUUUAUUGGGCGUAAAGCGAGCGCAGGCGGUUUUUUAAGUCUGAUGUGAAAGCCUUCGGCUCAACCGAAGAAGUGCAUCGGAAACUGGGAAACUUGAGUGCAGAAGAGGACAGUGGAACUCCAUGUGUAGCGGUGAAAUGCGUAGAUAUAUGGAAGAACACCAGUGGCGAAGGCGGCUGUCUGGUCUGUAACUGACGCUGAGGCUCGAAAGUAUGGGUAGCAAACAGGAUUAGAUACCCUGGUAGUCCAUACCGUAAACGAUGAAUGCUAAGUGUUGGAGGGUUUCCGCCCUUCAGUGCUGCAGCUAACGCAUUAAGCAUUCCGCCUGGGGAGUACGGCCGCAAGGCUGAAACUCAAAGGAAUUGACGGGGGCCCGCACAAGCGGUGGAGCAUGUGGUUUAAUUCGAAGCUACGCGAAGAACCUUACCAGGUCUUGACAUACUAUGCAAAUCUAAGAGAUUAGACGUUCCCUUCGGGGACAUGGAUACAGGUGGUGCAUGGUUGUCGUCAGCUCGUGUCGUGAGAUGUUGGGUUAAGUCCCGCAACGAGCGCAACCCUUAUUAUCAGUUGCCAGCAUUAAGUUGGGCACUCUGGUGAGACUGCCGGUGACAAACCGGAGGAAGGUGGGGAUGACGUCAAAUCAUCAUGCCCCUUAUGACCUGGGCUACACACGUGCUACAAUGGAUGGUACAACGAGUUGCGAACUCGCGAGAGUAAGCUAAUCUCUUAAAGCCAUUCUCAGUUCGGAUUGUAGGCUGCAACUCGCCUACAUGAAGUCGGAAUCGCUAGUAAUCGCGGAUCAGCAUGCCGCGGUGAAUACGUUCCCGGGCCUUGUACACACCGCCCGUCACACCAUGAGGAGUUUGUAACACCCAAAGUCGGUGGGGUAACCUUUUAGGAACCAGCCGCCUAAGGUGGACAGAGUGGA
Molecule: ribosomal RNA, 1482 nt
Filed under: Lactiplantibacillus plantarum
Lineage: Bacteria; Bacillati; Bacillota; Bacilli; Lactobacillales; Lactobacillaceae
Description: bacterial SSU rRNA
Rfam family: Bacterial small subunit ribosomal RNA
Source: RNAcentral